Molecule: long non-coding RNA, 1333 nt
Organism: Microtus ochrogaster (prairie vole)
Lineage: Eukaryota; Metazoa; Chordata; Mammalia; Rodentia; Cricetidae
Source: RefSeq, a predicted model, not a curated record
AAAUAUUUACACCAGAAAGGAUACAAAAUGGCAGUGUGGGACUCUGGGAGACACAGACAUUAAGAACCACAGUUGCAGCGGGGAGCUCUCGGCAGCCUCUUCCGGGUCUUCUGGAUUCUAGACUGGCUUGGGUCCUCUUACUUAAAAGAGUGGUACACUUAUCUGGGCAGCGUGCCAAGUCCUAUUUCAAAGAACAAGUCAAUUUUCACAGUGAGGUUUUUCCAUUUGGAACAUUCCAGUUGCAGUGAACUUUGAUUCCUGUACUUGGUAGAGCGGAGGGUGGGAACAGGGUUGAAUACUGAAGCCUCUGUUGUCUGGGAAGACCUUAGACCUGUGUCACACUUUGAAGGCUGGGGAGAGACCACACAGCCAGACCCUACUGGGUCACAGGCAAAUGAGUUCUAAGUUGAAGUCUCCACCCCCACUGGGUGCAGAAGAGGGGGCAGGGCGUUUUAAGUGGUCUAGGCUGUGUAUUAACUGGGGACACAGUGUCCCCUGCACUUGUGGCAUGCUGACCCUUAGCCACCUGGGAUGUUUCUUCCUAUGGCCACUUAACCUGGAUGUUAUUGGACAGAGGAAACGGAAGAAUCUGUCUCUAUUCUGGAACAUUCAAACACUGGCCAAAGGAACCACUGAUCACCGGAAAUCAAUGUCAGAAACGAAAAGGGAGAGCCAACAGAGAUCCAUGAAAUAGCGCCUGAUCAUGAGCCCUCGUCCCAGAUCCCACCAGCUCCUGCUCAGAAAGGAACCGAGGUUGCAUUCCCAAGGAAAAGCAAAGGACACGUCUGGAGGCAUUCUGCACUGCUUUUCCAGCAUGGGGGACAGCCGCCCUUUGCUCACGACCCUCCAUCAUGCAUCGGUGGGCAAGAGGAAGGCCACCAGUGUAGGCUGAGCCGAGCAGAGACCGCUGCUUUACAUCAGAAGGCUCCACUGCUUGCGUGGUUCGGAACAGUGACACUCGCGGGCACAAGGAAAAUCAGAAUGAAACCGGCAAAGUUCCCGAAUAUUACAUCUGUUGUUCCUUUUUCAUUUAAGCUCCGCCUGAAGCCACCACCCUCCUCUAUGGAGAUAGGAGUCACAGACCCUGAGCCUGUUUCCGUGACAACUAAAUUAAAAGCCACAGGAAAGCUCUAGACUCCGCUUUUAAUCAUGAAGCCAAAACAAAGAAAAGGCGGAGAGCCUCUUCACCAGUCCUGGACUUAGAACGGAGACCCAAUGUAAAGCCAAUCCAAGCGUCUAGUUUCCUCUCUGAUGGGGAACAAAUUGCAAUAGAUCUGUCAGAGUCUGUCUAAAGGCAAGGACCAGGAAAACAGUCAAGGUCAGACAACUUUCA